RNAcentral lists this ribosomal RNA (524 nucleotides) under Rhiginia aimara. Its description in RNAcentral is "partial 16S ribosomal RNA". It matches the Rfam family "Bacterial large subunit ribosomal RNA", at positions 1810 to 2606 of the family's 2925-position model. Lineage: Eukaryota; Metazoa; Arthropoda; Insecta; Hemiptera; Reduviidae. The record is from RNAcentral.
AAAACAUGUCUUUUUGUUUAUUUAUUUAAAGUUUGCCCUGCCCAAUGAUUUAAUUUAAUGGCCGCAGUAUAUUAACUGUGCUAAGGUAGCAUAAUCAAUUGUCUUUUAAUUGGAGGCUGGUAUGAAAGGGUGAAUGAGGCAUUAUCUUUUUUUUUAUUAAAAUUUAAAUUUAAUUUUUUAGUUAAAAGGCUAAAAUUUUAUUAUGGGACGAGAAGACCCUAUAGAUCUUUAUAUUUAAUUACUUAAUUGUAUUUUAGCUUAUUGUUUAUAAUAAUUUAAUUAUGUAUUUAAUUGGGGUGAUUUUAGAAUUUAACUAACUACUAUUUAAUUAAUCAUUUGUUAAUGUUUAUUUGAUCUUGUAUUACUGAUUUUAAGAUUAAGUUACCUUAGGGAUAACAGCGUAAUUUUUCCGGAGAGUUCAUAUUGAUGGGAAGGUUUGCGACCUCGAUGUUGGAUUAAAAUAAGUUUUAGGCGCAGUUGCUUAAUGACUAGGUCUGUUCGACCUUUAAAAUUUUACAUGAUCU